RNAcentral lists this transfer-messenger RNA (412 nucleotides) under Candidatus Uhrbacteria bacterium. It matches the Rfam family "transfer-messenger RNA". From Rfam's summary of the family: Bacterial tmRNA, also known as 10Sa RNA or SsrA, is named for its dual tRNA and mRNA-like properties. Its role is to liberate the mRNA from a stalled ribosome. The record is from RNAcentral. Lineage: Bacteria; Candidatus Uhriibacteriota.
GGGAGUGAAUCAGCAUCGACGACAACAUCUUUUGACAAUCGCAAGCCGAGUUCGCUAGUCAACGCGUCAAUCCAGGCUAGCAUCAUGACAACUGCCAACGUCAUGUCAAAAAUUCGGAAUGCGUUUCGCAUGCCGAGUUUUGCUCCAUCCUUCGCUUAACGCGAACGUGUUGGACCGAUCACUUCUCGCGCGUCUCACGCAAGAAUGCUGAUUGUCAUCUAUUGAGACUUGCUCCGAUCGCUUGUUUCCACGAUCGAGGACAUGGCGGAAACUUGGCUCGCGCCUUCUCGCAUUCUCCAUGCGACGCGAACGACACCUUCGACGUGAGUUGAAGACUGAGAAUGCUAUGCUUGUGAACGAGGUUGCUAAAAAUUUUGCUCGGACAGGGGUGCGAUACCCCUCACUUCCACCA